Molecule: ribosomal RNA, 200 nt
Filed under: uncultured bacterium
Lineage: Bacteria
Description: partial 16S ribosomal RNA
Rfam family: Bacterial small subunit ribosomal RNA
Source: RNAcentral
GACGAACGCUGGCGGCGUGCUUAACACAUGCAAGUCGAGCGGUAAGGCCCUUUCGGGGGUACACGAGCGGCGAACGGGUGAGUAACACGUGGGUGACCUGCCCUCAGCUCUGGGAUAAGCCUGGGAAACUGGGUCUAAUACUGGAUAUGACUCCACGGUGCAUGUCGUGGGGUGGAAAGCCUUGUGCGGCUGAGGAUGGG